This is a non-coding RNA of 196 nucleotides. It matches the Rfam family "6S / SsrS RNA". Rfam says of the family: E. coli 6S RNA was the first non coding RNA to be sequenced, but its function was unknown until recently. It consists of 184 nucleotides that fold into an extended hairpin structure with a large single-stranded internal bulge. The 6S RNA specifically associates with RNA polymerase holoenzyme containing the sigma70 specificity factor. The record is from Rfam.
CACAGGCUGCGUUGCACGUAAUCAUAAUAAAGUUUUAACCUUUAAGCUGUAAAAGGGAGUUUUAAUUGAAACCGGAAUGACAAGCCUCUGUCUAUACGACAAGGAGGACAUGCAGGAACGUUUCUGCGAACACCCACUUUGAGGAGUGGUGGUUUAAAACUUUCUUAUAUUCCAUUACGGCAAAUGCGGCUCUACA